AUUUUGCAUAUCAAUAAGCGGAGGAAAAGAAACCAACAGGGAUUGCCUCAGUAACGGCGAGUGAAGCGGCAACAGCUCAAAUUUGAAAUCUGGCCUCUUUGGGGUCCGAGUUGUAAUUUGUAGAGGAUGUUUCGGGUACCGCCUCGGUUUAAAUUUCUUGGAACAGAAUGUCAGAGAGGGUGAGAAUCCCGUCUUGGACCGGCGGUAGGGCCCAUGUGAAACUCCUUCGACGAGUCGAGUUGUUUGGGAAUGCAGCUCAAAAUGGGUGGUAAAUUUCAUCUAAAGCUAAAUAUUGGCCAGAGACCGAUAGCGCACAAGUAGAGUGAUCGAAAGAUGAAAAGAACUUUGAAAAGAGAGUUAAACAGUAUGUGAAAUUGUUGAAAGGGAAGCGCUUGCAACCAGACUUGAGCGCGGCGGUUCCCCCUUCCUUUUGGUUGGGUUACUCCGCCGUGUCCAGGCCAACAUCGGUUCUGGGGGUCGGUUAAAGGCCCGGGGAAUGUACCUACUCCUUCGGGGGUAGACUUAUAGCCCCGGGUGUCAUGCGACCACCCGGGACCGAGGAACGCGCUUCGGCUCGGAUGUUGGCGUAAUGGUUGUCAGCGACCCGUCUUGAAACACGGACCA
RNAcentral lists this ribosomal RNA (624 nucleotides) under Exophiala spinifera. RNAcentral's name for it is "LSU rRNA". It matches the Rfam family "Eukaryotic large subunit ribosomal RNA", at positions 33 to 668 of the family's 3401-position model. The record is from RNAcentral. Lineage: Eukaryota; Fungi; Ascomycota; Eurotiomycetes; Chaetothyriales; Herpotrichiellaceae.